Molecule: non-coding RNA, 439 nt
Filed under: Pan troglodytes (chimpanzee)
Lineage: Eukaryota; Metazoa; Chordata; Mammalia; Primates; Hominidae
Also listed under: 1 other name
Source: RNAcentral
GCAACAAGCUUUAGAACUAGCUUUGGAUCGUGCAGAGUAUGUCAUUGAAAGUGCCCGACAGAGACCUCCUAAAAGGAAAUACCUAUCAAGUGGAAGAAAAUCUGUAUUUCAAAAACUUUAUGACUUGUAUAUUGAAGAAUGUGAAAAAGAACCUGAAGUUAAGAUUCCGAGACCAUUCGACUGCCCUAUGAAGAAGGAGAGUUGCUUGAAUAUUUGGAUGCAGAAGAAUUACCUCCUAUUUUGGUUGAUCUCCUAGAAAAAUCUCAGGUUAAUAUUUUUCAUUGCGGAUGUGUCAUAGCAGAAAUACGUGACUACAGGCAGUCCAGUAACAUGAAAUCUCCUGGUUACCAAAGUCGGCACAUUCUCUUACGUCCAACAAUGCAGACUUUAAUUUGUGAUGUACAUUCAAUAACAAGUGAUAACCACAAAUGGACCCAGG